Molecule: transfer RNA, 73 nt
Filed under: Lishizhenia tianjinensis
Lineage: Bacteria; Pseudomonadati; Bacteroidota; Flavobacteriia; Flavobacteriales; Crocinitomicaceae
Description: marine bacterium H6 tRNA
Rfam family: tRNA
About the family: Transfer RNA (tRNA) molecules are approximately 80 nucleotides in length. Their secondary structure includes four short double-helical elements and three loops (D, anti-codon, and T loops). Further hydrogen bonds mediate the characteristic L-shaped molecular structure. tRNAs have two regions of fundamental functional importance: the anti-codon, which is responsible for specific mRNA codon recognition, and the 3' end, to which the tRNAs corresponding amino acid is attached (by aminoacyl-tRNA synthetases). tRNAs cope with the degeneracy of the genetic code in two manners: having more than one tRNA (with a specific anti-codon) for a particular amino acid; and 'wobble' base-pairing, i.e. permitting non-standard base-pairing at the 3rd anti-codon position.
Source: Rfam by way of RNAcentral
GGUCGCGUAGCUCAGCUGGAGACGCAUUCCGAUUUCAAUCGGAACGGUCAAAGUUCGAAUCCUUGCACGAUCA